UUGGUGCUAAAAGGCGGCCCGGGGUAGUGGUCAGUCGAGAUAGCAUAGAGAGUCUUCGAAUUAUAGAUCGUCAAGAUUACACUGAACAACAACUUACCUUGUUCUGUUUCACUGGGCGUGUAUGUUCCUGCUUGGCUAGAAACUAACCGAAUGUGUGUAGAAUUUUUAUUUAUUAAUUAUAAUUCCAAAGAGGCAGGUCGAAGCCGCUGAAAUAAGUGGCAGCCCAGGGUGGAUGGGUGGUUUUGUAUGGGUGUGCACGGCUGUCUCUGGGCAUUGUCCUCUCGUUAAUGGGAAACUCACAUUUCUGGAGUGCUAGGGAGCCCGGCUCGGUGGGCGAGUGUGAUUCGACCUGGCUAUGCCAUUCGGAACCGGAGCAGUAUCCAGCAGAGGACCAGGAGACGUCAGCCUCUGACGGAGAGAGAAAGACAGACAAGAGCAGAAGAGGAUGGAUGGGAUCAGUGGUGCUGGAAGAGCACAGCAAUUCAGGCAGCAUCCGAGGACAGAGCAGAAGAGCCAGGAGCAGGUGUUUAUAUUGAUGAGAUAUUCACGAAGUCGAAAGGAGAUCAUGACAAGCUGAAACAUAACCACACCUGCGAGCAGCAGCGGAGGUAAGACGAACCCGGAAGACUGCAGCUAAGGUAAGGCAGUUUUUUUUAAAAUUACUUACCGGUAGCAGACAGCGGUAUUUUCCCUUUCGCAGAAGGAGCAGGAGCAGUGGGAGAAGUGACGAGGACCAGAGGGGCAGCCGGGAAGGAAAGCAGUGAGUAUAAAUACUCGCCCUUCGACGCCAACGGCCAUUUUGAGUGCAAGCAACAGCGGAGAAGGAGCGGGAGCAGCGGGGGAAGUGAUGAGGACCAGAGCAGCAGCCAGGAAGGAAAGCAGUGACCAUAUAUAUCAGCAAGGCGGCUAAACCCGAGACUCUACAACUGUAGAGUCUCCCACC
This is a non-coding RNA of Chiloscyllium plagiosum (whitespotted bambooshark), 943 nucleotides long. Lineage: Eukaryota; Metazoa; Chordata; Chondrichthyes; Orectolobiformes; Hemiscylliidae. The record is from RefSeq and is a predicted model, not a curated record.